UACGGAGGAUGCAAGCGUUAUCCGGAAUGAUUGGGCGUAAAGCGUCCGCAGGUGGCUGUGUAAGUCUGCUGUUAAAGAGUGAGGCUCAACCUCAUAAAGGCAGUGGAAACUACAUGGCUAGAGUGCGUUCGGGGCAGAGGGAAUUCCUGGUGUAGCGGUGAAAUGCGUAGAUAUCUGGAGGAAUACCGGUGGCGAAGGCGGCAUCCUGGACCGACAUUGACGCUGAUGAGCGAAAGCUAGGGGAGCAAACGGG
RNAcentral lists this ribosomal RNA (253 nucleotides) under uncultured bacterium. RNAcentral's name for it is "partial 16S ribosomal RNA". It matches the Rfam family "Bacterial small subunit ribosomal RNA", at positions 524 to 776 of the family's 1533-position model. The record is from RNAcentral.